UCUCCGUUGGUGAACCAGCGGAGGGAUCAUUACUGAGUCAUUCUACCUCCAAACCCCCUUGAACCUAUCCUUUUACUGCUUCUUCGGCGGGUUAACGCCCCGCAACGCGCGCCCCGGCAACCGGACCCAGGCCCCCGCCGGGGAACCCUAACUUGUUAUUGUUUCUUUCAGUAUGUCAGACUGACAACUAAAACAAAAGUAUCAAAAAUUUCAACAACGGAUCUCUUGGCUAUGGCAUCGAUGAAAAACGCAACAGACCGGAGGCGCAAAUCCAUGAAC
RNAcentral lists this unclassified non-coding RNA (279 nucleotides) under plant metagenome. Its description in RNAcentral is "partial contains small subunit ribosomal RNA, internal transcribed spacer 1, and 5.8S ribosomal RNA". The record is from RNAcentral.